Molecule: ribosomal RNA, 463 nt
Filed under: uncultured bacterium
Lineage: Bacteria
Description: bacterial SSU rRNA
Rfam family: Bacterial small subunit ribosomal RNA
Source: RNAcentral
AUCAACGCUGGCGGCGUGCCUAAUGCAUGCAAGUCGGACGGGCUCGCUUUCGGGCGGGUCACGUGGCGGACGGGUGAGGAACGCGUGGGGAACCUGCCCUGGGGUGGGGGGUAGCCAUCGGAAACGGUGGGUAAGUCCGCAUGUGCUCGCCUGGCAGUAGGCUGGGUGAGGAAAGCAUCGGAAGGUGCGCCCCAGGAGGGCUCUGCGGCCGAUUAGCUGGUUGGCGGGGUAACGGCCCACCAAGGCGGUGAUCGGUAGCUGGUCUGAGAGGACGGCCAGCCACACGGGGACUGAGACACGGCCCCGACUCCUACGGGAGGCAGCAGCAAGGAAUUUUCCCCAAUGGGCGCAAGCCUGAGGGAGCAACGCCGCGUGGGGGAGGACGCUUUUCGGAGUGUAAACCCCUUUUCUCGGGGACGAAGGACGUGACGGUACCCGAGGAAGAAGGCCCGGCUAACUACGU